RNAcentral lists this unclassified non-coding RNA (220 nucleotides) under plant metagenome. RNAcentral describes it as "partial contains small subunit ribosomal RNA, internal transcribed spacer 1, and 5.8S ribosomal RNA". The record is from RNAcentral.
UUUCCGUAGGUGAACCUGCGGAAGGAUCUUUACAGAGUUCAUGCCCUCACGGGUAGAUCUCCCACCCUUGAAUAUUUAUACCUUAGUUGCUUUGGCAGGCCGUGGAAACACCAUGGGCUCCGGCUUAUGCGUGCCUGCCAGAGGAAACAAACUCUGUUUUUAGUGAUGUCUGAGUACUAUAUAAUAGUUAAAACUUUCAACAACGGAUCUCUUGGUUCUG